CACCCCUUUGCCCUCCUCGCUGCAGUUUUGAAAAUGAGGAUUUCUGCAGGAUGGAAAUUUUGGCUGGGUUCUGUCCUUUCACAAAACUACUGUGAAUUUUGACAGAGCAGAGGAGUCAGCAGGAAACCACUGGAGCUGCAGUUUGAACGCUGGAUUGGCAGAGAAUUCUAAGGGGUUCCCUCUGCUGAACUUCAAUGCUUGUCUGCAAGACCAGACUUCAUUGUUGUAGACCAGCCUUUCAUUUUGCUCUCUCAGGCUGCACUGUCCCAAGG
RNAcentral lists this long non-coding RNA (272 nucleotides) under Cyanistes caeruleus (blue tit). RNAcentral's name for it is "lncRNA (ENSCCEG00000023215.1)". Lineage: Eukaryota; Metazoa; Chordata; Aves; Passeriformes; Paridae. The record is from RNAcentral.